AGUCAAUCGACCCAAUAUGUUUUAUUUGUGUGGUCUACUUCUCUCAAGCAUGCAGUCCCCCUGAUACCGAACAUGCUUGGUGGCAUCGAGGAUGUGAGCAAUUGUGGAAAGGCAGGUAGUUUGCUCGUAUCUUUAUAAAUGUAGUUUGCGGCCUUAUGGUAGGUCACUUAGAUUAUUGUCAAGGUUGUGCCUGCAAACUUUCUCGGGGGGAGCUUAAUUUUGAUGCUCUG
This 230-nucleotide unclassified non-coding RNA is filed under the name Hevea brasiliensis (rubber tree). The record is from RNAcentral. Lineage: Eukaryota; Viridiplantae; Streptophyta; Magnoliopsida; Malpighiales; Euphorbiaceae.